Non-coding RNA from Cucumis melo (muskmelon), 86 nucleotides. The record is from Rfam. Lineage: Eukaryota; Viridiplantae; Streptophyta; Magnoliopsida; Cucurbitales; Cucurbitaceae.
UGGCUGUAGCUAAAUUAGAUUUGAGAAGUUAACUGGCCGGUUGCUGUUAUCUGUCAACAAAUCUGCUUACCGAAGUUCUUUUACAU